This 492-nucleotide ribosomal RNA is filed under the name uncultured bacterium. RNAcentral's name for it is "partial 16S ribosomal RNA". It matches the Rfam family "Bacterial small subunit ribosomal RNA", at positions 29 to 507 of the family's 1533-position model. The record is from RNAcentral.
AGUGAACGCUGGCGGUAGGCCUAACACAUGCAAGUCGAACGGCAGCACAGUAAGAGCUUGCUCUUACGGGUGGCGAGUGGCGGACGGGUGAGGAAUAUAUCGGAAUCUACUUUUUCGUGGGGGAUAACGUAGGGAAACUUACGCUAAUACCGCAUAUGACCUACGGGUGAAAGCAGGGGAACUUUGGACCUUGCGCGAUUGAAUGAGCCGAUGUCGGAUUAGCUAGUUGGCGGGGUAAAGGCCCACGACGGCGACGAUCCGUAGCUGGUCUGAGAGGAUGAUCGGCCACACUGGAACUGAGCCACGCUCCAGGCUCCUACGGGAGGCAGCAGUGGGGAAUAUUGGACAAUGGGCGCAAGCCUGGUCCAGCCAUACCGCGUGGGUGAAGAAGGCCUUCGGGUUGUAAAGCCCUUUUGUUGGGAAAGAAAAGCAGCAGGUUAAUACCCCGCUGUUCUGACGGUACCCAAAGAAUAAGCACCGGCUAACUUCGUG